RNAcentral lists this ribosomal RNA (465 nucleotides) under uncultured bacterium. Its description in RNAcentral is "partial 16S ribosomal RNA". It matches the Rfam family "Bacterial small subunit ribosomal RNA", at positions 28 to 507 of the family's 1533-position model. The record is from RNAcentral.
GAUGAACGCUGGCGGCGUGCUUAACACAUGCAAGUCGAACGGAAAGGCUCCUGCUUGCCGGGGUACUCGAGUGGCGAACGGGUGAGUAACACGUGGGUGAUCUGCCCUGCACUUCGGGAUAAGCCUGGGAAACUGGGUCUAAUACCGGAUAGGACCACAUUUUGGAUGGUGUGGUGGAAAGUUUUUCGGUGUGGGAUGAGCUCGCGGCCUAUCAGCGUGUUGGUGGGGUAAUGGCAUACCAAGGCGUCGACGGGUAGCCGGCAUGAGAGGGUGUACGGCCACAUUGGGACUGAGAUACGGCCCAGACUCCUACGGGAGGCAGCAGUGGGGAAUAUUGCACAGUGGGAGCAAGCCUGAUGCAGCGACGCCGCGUGGGGGAUGACGGCCUUCGGGUUGUAAACUGCUUUCGCUAGAGACGAAGCGCAAGUGACGGUACCUGGAGAAGAAGCACCGGCUAACUACGUG